RNAcentral lists this ribosomal RNA (626 nucleotides) under Staphylococcus sp. KLBMP 2456. RNAcentral describes it as "bacterial SSU rRNA". It matches the Rfam family "Bacterial small subunit ribosomal RNA", at positions 59 to 668 of the family's 1533-position model. Lineage: Bacteria; Bacillati; Bacillota; Bacilli; Caryophanales; Staphylococcaceae. The record is from RNAcentral.
CAGUCGAGCGACAGAUAAGGAGCUUGCUCCUUUGACGUUAGCGGCGGACGGGUGAGUAACACGUGGGUAACCUACCUAUAAGACUGGGAUAACUUCGGGAAACCGGAGCUAAUACCGGAUAACAUUUGGAACCGCAUGGUUCUAAAGUGAAAGAUGGUUUUGCUAUCACUUAUAGAUGGACCCGCGCCGUAUUAGCUAGUUGGUAAGGUAACGGCUUACCAAGGCGACGAUACGUAGCCGACCUGAGAGGGUGAUCGGCCACACUGGAACUGAGACACGGUCCAGACUCCUACGGGAGGCAGCAGUAGGGAAUCUUCCGCAAUGGGCGAAAGCCUGACGGAGCAACGCCGCGUGAGUGAUGAAGGGUUUCGGCUCGUAAAACUCUGUUAUUAGGGAAGAACAAAUGUGUAAGUAACUGUGCACGUCUUGACGGUACCUAAUCAGAAAGCCACGGCUAACUACGUGCCAGCAGCCGCGGUAAUACGUAGGUGGCAAGCGUUAUCCGGAAUUAUUGGGCGUAAAGCGCGCGUAGGCGGUUUCUUAAGUCUGAUGUGAAAGCCCACGGCUCAACCGUGGAGGGUCAUUGGAAACUGGGAAACUUGAGUGCAGAAGAGGAAAGUGGAAUU